AUGCUUGAUCUCAAUGAGUUGCCUCCUGAUCUCAAUGAGCUUCCUCAUGAUAUGGAUCAGCAGCAACCCAUCAUACAACAAGGAAAUUGGACAGAAAAUGGGCGAUCUGUUUACUACACGCAGGAAAGUCGUGGUGGUAACCCUAUGGGCCAUGACAAUGUGGCAGGCCAGUCAUCAACCCGUGGUGCCCCUGUAGUGGUGUCUUUGCAGUCAGAGAGCCAUACUCUUGAUGACACGGGAACCGCGGCAAAUGUUCCUGGUCCAACCAGGACUGAGCUAGGAGCUGGGGCUAUUGACGGGGUUGUGCAAGGAGAAGAAGGAGAGGAUGAGGCUGGUUCUCAACCUAUAGAACCCUAUGUUGGCAUGAGGUUUGACAGCCUUCAAAUUGCUAAGGAUCACUACAACAGCUACGCACUACGGAUGGUUUUCUCUGUCAAGAUGAACACCUCUAGGCGGACAUCCCACACCAAUGUAUUGGUAAAACAACAGUUUUGCUUCAACAAGUUCAAGAAGCCCAAAGCUGAUGAUGGAGGAGCUGAGGCUCCUCCUGUCCUGGACCCUAUUCCAGAUCCAAAAACUAUUGACAGUGAUGAGGAAAUGGAAGAUGAACCUCCAAUCUUUGCUGAAGAGGAGGCUGGUCCUAGUAAGAAGAAGAAGAAACGGAAACGCGAGACAAUAAAGCAGACUCAAUGCAAGGCGAAAAUGUUGGUGAAGCUGAUAGAUGCGCGAUGGGAGGUGACGCACUUUGUUCGUGACCACAAUCAUCCGCUCGUGAACAAACCUUCAUUGUCCAAAUACUUGAGAUCCCACCAAGGCAUCUCACCUGAUGGAAAGGCGUUUUUGCGCAUCUUGUAUAACUGCAACUUGACUACAGGACGUAUGAUGCAUAUAAUGGCAGAGUUCUACGGAUCUGAGAUGAUGGUGCCGUUCGGACCAAAGACAAUAACAAAUGUGUGUACAAGUUUCCAUAGAGAUGACACAAAGGAGGGUGACAUGAUUGAGACAAUUGCGCACUUCAAGGAUAGACAGAAAAACGAUCCAGACUUCUUCUAUAAGGUAAAAUAUGAUGAAGAGGACAGAGUUGUCAACAUAUUUUGGAUGGAUGGCUUAGCUCGAAAAGCUUAUGCUGAGGCGUACCACGAUUGCAUAUCGUUUGACACUACCUACAUGACCAAGAUGUAUAAUAUGCCGUUCACACCCUUCAUUGGAAUAAACCGACAUGGCCAAUCUUUCAUCCUCGGUUGCACGUUUGUGAGGCAGGAGUUGGCAUCAAGCUUUGAUUGGGUCUUCCAAACAUUCCUAGAGGCUAUGGGUGGCAAACCUCCUGACACCUUCAUAACCGAUCAAGAUGGUGCAAUGAGGCAGUCAAUACAGAGCAUCUUUCCAACCACCGUGCAUCAAUGUUGUCAGGACCCCGAUUCUAAGUCACACCGAUCUAGCCUGUAA
RNAcentral lists this ribosomal RNA (1446 nucleotides) under Triticum aestivum (bread wheat). RNAcentral describes it as "partial small subunit ribosomal RNA". The record is from RNAcentral. Lineage: Eukaryota; Viridiplantae; Streptophyta; Magnoliopsida; Poales; Poaceae.